UACAGAGGUGGCAAGCGUUGUUCGGAAUUACUGGGCGUAAAGGGCGCGUAGGCGGCUUGGUCAGUCCCGUGUGAAAUCCCUCGGCUCAACUGAGGAACUGCACGGGAAACUGCCUGGCUUGAGUUCGGGAGAGGGAAGCGGAAUUCCGGGUGUAGCGGUGAAAUGCGUAGAUAUCCGGAGGAACACCGGUGGCGAAGGCGGCUUCCUGGACCGACACUGACGCUGAGGAGCGAAAGCGUGGGGAGCGAACAGG
Molecule: ribosomal RNA, 253 nt
Filed under: uncultured bacterium
Lineage: Bacteria
Description: partial 16S ribosomal RNA
Rfam family: Bacterial small subunit ribosomal RNA
Source: RNAcentral